Molecule: transfer RNA, 71 nt
Filed under: Bos taurus (domestic cattle)
Lineage: Eukaryota; Metazoa; Chordata; Mammalia; Artiodactyla; Bovidae
Also listed under: 1 other name
Rfam family: tRNA
About the family: Transfer RNA (tRNA) molecules are approximately 80 nucleotides in length.
Source: Rfam by way of RNAcentral
UCCUGGUGGUUCAGAUGUUAAAGAGACCGCCUGCAAUGCAGGAGGUCCAGGUUCAAUCCCUGGAUCAGGAA